AGCUUAGUAGUAUAGCUUGGUUAUUAUACCCGAGUGAAUGCUUCUGGGAGACUAUAGGUUCGAAUCCUAUCUGGGCUU
Molecule: non-coding RNA, 78 nt
Organism: Chaetomium strumarium
Lineage: Eukaryota; Fungi; Ascomycota; Sordariomycetes; Sordariales; Chaetomiaceae
Source: the annotation of a RefSeq genome assembly